Asparagus officinalis (garden asparagus) is the source of this 4612-nucleotide RNA transcript. It is a transcript of the gene named pentatricopeptide repeat-containing protein At1g76280, with no coding region annotated. The transcript has 14 exons. The record is from RefSeq and is a predicted model, not a curated record. Lineage: Eukaryota; Viridiplantae; Streptophyta; Magnoliopsida; Asparagales; Asparagaceae.
UUCUCUACCUAAAAAAAACCUCUUAAUCCCCAGUACAUAAUGUAGCAUAUAGCAAUUAUUUAUCUUUAGACUCGCAACAUUAACUGCAUUCGCCAAUCGCCAUCACGCCCACACUGUUCCGUUCCGUCCCGUUCAUUCAAGGUUAGUGUGGCGGGCUCUCAUCUGGGCCGGGCUACGGCCCAGAACCUCGGCCAACCUCACCACCACCAUCUUCGAAACAACCGAACAUCGCGCCCUCGUACAGGCUCCCCAUCGGCAACCUCGCCGCCCCCUCCGCCGCCGCCUCCUCCUCCUCGUCCGCCAUCGUCGUGGCGGGCAAGUAAGCCACCGCGCUCGCCAGCCUCCGGGCCUCGCUCCCGGACUCCGGCGCGCCGUGAUCAGGACCACGCGGGCCCCGCUGCCGGCGGCGACGCGGCGGCGAUGGCACAGUCGACGGUGGAGAAGCCGCAAAACCCUCAAAACCUAACUGGCCCUAACCUCCUCUCUCCCUUGUGUCCCAAACUCGUUCUCUCCUCUUUCCUCUCAAAACCCUCAAAACCUAACUGGCCCUAACCUCCUCUCUCCCUUCAAAACCCUAGCUAGCCCUAAUUCCUCGUCGCCAACACCGCCACUAGAAGCUUCGCUGCCACCUGCACCUGAAGCUCAUCAAGUCAUCAUUUCCCUUUCAUAUGUGCGUUUUUGUUCGACUUUAUCGACUUUUUGGGAUUUUUGUGAUUUUUGCGUUUCUGAUGUGGUUUGGUUUGAUUUAGUGCAAGUUUCUUAAUCAAAUCUACUGCUUGCUUUAUCCUACUCACUGUCUAAAGCUCGGCCUCCUGCCGUUCAAAGCUCAGUCGAAAACCCUAGAUCUCCUGUAGUCGACACCAAGUUCUCAUCCUCCACGCCAUCCUCCUCCUUAACCCACGGCCCAGGUCCUAAUCGUGCAUCUUGCAGGAGAAAUGCAUCUCCUUCACUCUUCUUUGUAACCCUCUUCAAUCUCCAAAGCUCUCCCCAUCCAAAAAAAAGAGAAAAAGUGGAAAAAUGGCGCUUUGGAAUAAAAUCCGACACUCUGGACUACAGCGCCUCGUUCAAUCCUAUCAAAACCCUAGCUUUAUCUCCGCCCCCGUGAGAUCUUGCUCAGUUCGUGCUCAUGUGAAGGAGAAGCAAAUCAAAGAACCAAGCGGAUGGAGUCUCACUGGGGAUAUUACUGCUCAAUAUGAUCGAGACGUCACUGAUCAAGAUUAUUAUUGUUUCCAAUGUAGACCUCAACAUGGAACCGGACAUGCACAACGUCAAAUUGUUAAUGCUCUUCGCUUGGGGGAGAGGGAGAAAGCCUUUGGGAUGCUACAAAAUCUUGGUGAUGGAAACGUCUCUUUAGGUCCUGAUGACUUUUCUUUUGUUCUGGACUACUGUGCACAGAUUCCUGAUCCUCUGUUUGUCAUGGGAACUUGGAGAAUCAUGGAGGAACAAGCAGUGGCUAUUGACAAGAGAUGUUGUAGAGCUAUUGUUAAAGCCUUUAGUAGGGGAGGAUAUCUUAAGGAGGCAUUUGAUUGGCUUAAGUUUGUUGGUGAUAAUGACUUUGCCCAUGCUAUGCUUUCCUUGAGUAAUAUUUUCUUAAGUGAAUCUGGAAGUAGGCAAAGCUUUGUUGAUGUGGACCAUUGUAUAGAGCUGAUGGAGAAACAAUUUGUGGGGAAGUCUGAAAUAACGUAUUGGGGGCUUCUCAAGUUUGCAGUUUCACAGAAAAAUUUAUCAGCAGUUUAUGAUAUUUGGAAAGAUUGCACUAAUUACUAUACUCCAAGCAUUAUAACUAUGAGAAAAUUUAUCUGGUCGUUUACAAGGUUAAAUGACCUGAAAUCAGCAUAUGCAAUUUUGCAACAUAUGGUAGCUUUAGCUAACCGAGAAAGCGCUCCUCUUAGGACAUCUUCUGCGAGAAAAUAUCAGUCAUCAAGGCUAGAUAUUCCCAUUCCGUCAACUAAUGAGUUCCCAUAUAAGAUAUUUGGAUUGAGAAACAUGAAACAUUCUUCAAAUAUUCAUAAGACAACAAUGGAUACGGGGUCAUUUGACAAUGUUGAUGAUGAUUUCCUCCUUGACAGUUUUAAUCUAGAUCCAUUCCAUGUGCCAGUUACUCUUAAAAAUGGAAUAUCGAAUACACUUGAGAAAGAUAAAAUCUACUCAGAGAUGUUCCCUUCUGCUGAUGUUUCUGAGAGUGAUGAUCAGUAUCUUCAGAAGGACGAUUAUAUGGAAUUGAAGAUGGAAAAUGUAAAACAUGAAGGGCUGGGAUUUGAGGAAAUGAAAGCAAAGGCUUCUCCACCGGUUAAAAAUGUCUUAAGAUGGUCUUUCAACAAUGUAAUACAUGCUUGUGCACAAGCUGGAAAAUACGAACUAGCUGAGCGCUUAUUCAUGCAGAUGCAUGACCUUGGAUUGAAACCGUCAGGAGAUACAUAUGAUGGCUUUGUCAAAGCUGUAGUUUACGGGAAAGGAGUGACUUACGGCAUGAAAGUGAUUGAAUCCAUGGAAAAGAAUAACAUCAAGCCUUAUAAUGAUACUCUUGCAGUUCUGUCAACUGGUCACAGCAAAAAUUUUGAGCUGGAUAUAGCUGAGGCUUUGUUGGAGAAAAUUUCUUAUGGUCUACCAAAGUAUAUUCAUCCAUUUAAUGCUAUUUUGGCUGCAUGUGAUAUUAUGGAUCAACCUGAUCGUGCUGUUCAUAUAUUGGCUAAGAUGAAGCAUUUACAAAUCAAGCCAAAUAUCAGGACAUAUGAGCUCCUAUUUUCUUUAUUUGGUAAUAUAAAUAUACCUUAUGAGAAAGGAAACAUGUUCUCACAUGCAGAUGUCUCUAGAAGGAUAAAUGCUAUAGAGAAGGAUAUGAUAAGAAUUGGAGUCCAACACAGCUAUAUGUCAAUGAAGAAUUUGAUAAGAGCUCUUGGAGCUGAGGGCAUGAUAGGAGAAAUGCUCCGGUAUCUAAAUAUAGCAGAAAGCAUGCAAUGGAACAUAGAUCCUUAUGAAAAAUUGGAGUUAUACAAUAUUGUGCUGCAUGCAUUCGUCAAGGCUAAAGAAACUUCAACUGCAAUUGAAUUAUUCAAAGAUAUGCGACUCUCUGGUUUCCCUGCUGAUGUGGCAACAUAUAAUAUGAUGGUAGAAUGUUGCAGCAUAUUGGGAUGUCUCAAGUCUGCAUCUGCAUUGCUGUCUUUGAUGUUACGUGAUGGUUUUGUUCCUCAAACAUUGACAUAUAAUGCACUUAUAAAGGUUCUUUUAGCUAAUGACGAUUUUGAUUCAGCAAUGAGUCUUUUGGAUCAAGUGAGAUCUGAAGAAAAUGAACUUGAUAUCCAACUGUUUAAUACAAUUUUGAAACAAGCAAAUCAAAAGGGCCGAAUUGACAUAAUUGAGCUUAUCGUUGAGCUCAUUCACAAAGAAAAGAUCCAACCAAAUCCGUCAACAUGUUGGUACGCAUUCUGUGCCUAUGUGGAAUGUGGUUUUCACAGCACUGCUAUGGAAGCAUUGCAAGUUCUGAGCUUGCGAAUGAUCUCUGAAGACGAGAAUAUCCUUAAAGAUUAUAAGGCUGCAUAUGAGGACCUUCUCCACAGUGAAGAACUAGAUGUUGAAUCAAAGAUUGUUGAGAUUUUUGAAGAAUCUCAGGAAUUUAUUGCUACGGCUUUACUCAGCCUAAGAUGGUGUGCUAUUAAUGGUUCCCUCAUAUCAUGGUCUCCCAGUGAAAGUCUCUGGGCAAAGAGGCUUUCUUCUACUCAUGCUGCCAGAAGAAAAGCUGGUUGAAAUUUUUGUUUUAAAUGCAAUCCCUUUUAUCAUUGCCUUGAUUGCUGCUCCAUAGAGAGCCAACCGCCUACGUGUUGUUUGAUGAUGAUGAUAAUAAUGGCUCCAUAUACAAAAUAAGCUAGCUAGACGAGUUAUAGAAGUUCUUCAACAGAGUGAAGGCAGAGCGGCUCAUCAGAAAAUUUCUGAGGCCGUAAUCAAUUACCUUGUUCCAGCAAUGCAGCUUCUCUCAAACUAUCAGGUUGAAGGUUUCUAUAUUACUGAAGCUGAUAAAAUAAUGUUGAAGAUCACAAUACUUGGAAUACGAUUUCUUAUUGAAAUGCAUCCCUCUUCGUAUUUUUCUUUAGAUGGCCAUGUGCAAGCUCAUUUGCAGAUCUGAUUCGAACAGUCGAAGAUUCAAGCACACCCCCAACUUCAGUAGCAGAAACCUUCACCACUCCAAGCAAGAGAACUCCAACCAAGUACGACAAACGUAUAUAUUUUACAAUUGAUCUGACUCUCAUUGAACUUUCAGGCCUCCUCGUAACUGCCACAAUGAAUAUGCAGAUUCGAAGAUUCUGAUGGCUCAGGUAUCUCUUGAUGCAAGAGUUAUGGGUGAAGAAAUCGUCCAAGGCUACAAAGUAAUAUGGGAUGGAUCUGAAUCAGAAUUUAACGAUGUCUGAUUUUGGAUUUAUCUUUUUUCCCUCGCUCCUACGGCUGUAAAUGUCAGCAUUUCGAAUCAUUUUAUGACACCUUAUUUUAAUGUAAUGAGAUCGAGAAGAGCAUCUACUGUGCAUCCUGUGGAUACCACAUCUAUCUUCACGUUGUGUUAUGAAGCAUAUCCGCCUAAAUUUUUUUGGGGAAAAAAAUGUGAACCUAUUGGAUUUGAUCA